RNAcentral lists this ribosomal RNA (751 nucleotides) under Aphelenchoides giblindavisi. RNAcentral's name for it is "eukaryotic LSU rRNA". It matches the Rfam family "Eukaryotic large subunit ribosomal RNA", at positions 356 to 952 of the family's 3401-position model. The record is from RNAcentral. Lineage: Eukaryota; Metazoa; Nematoda; Chromadorea; Rhabditida; Aphelenchoididae.
AGGGAAAGUUGAAAAGCACUUUGAAAAGAGAGUGCAAGAGAACGUGAAACCGUUAUAGUGGAAGCGGAUGGAGCCGACGUAUCCAGUGCGUAUUCAGCACUCGUCGGCGGUUGUUCUCCGUCGGGUGUUCCGCAAGGUCGCCCUGCGGUUACUGCUGCCGUUGGCGAGUGUGCAUUUGCGUACAGAGUGCGCCGAAUCGGUUGAGCACGCCGUUCGAAGUCGCCAAAGAGGACAUGCUUUCGGGCGUGAAUCCUGGGACGAUGGAGGACGGAUGUGCUCGACUGCUCAGUGGCGUUGGCCUACGUUGUGUUCGGUUUUGUUGUCGGCGUUCUGCGGUGACCACAUGUGGGCUCUGCUCUGCGUUUGCUUCGAAGCAGGACACUUCUCAACGCUGAUUCGGUGUCUAGUCGGUCACCCAUUUGACCCGUCUUGAAACACGGACCAAGGAGUUUAAGGUGUACGCAAGUCAAUGGGUGUUGAAACUCAGAGGCGUAAUGAAAGUGGGACACUUAGUGUCUGUGAUGUGACUCGCGUGCGAUUCGUUGUGCGUGAGGCAGCAUCGACCCAUGACUAAGACUUGUCUUGUUGUGGAGUCUGAGCGUACGCUUUGAGACCCGAAAGAUGGUGAACUAUGCCCGAACAGGACGAAGUCAGAGGAAACUCUGAUGGAAGUCCGAAGCGGUUCUGACGUGCAAAUCGAUCGUCUGAUUUGGGUAUAGGGGCGCAAGACUAAUCGAACCAUCUAGUAGCU